GGGGUGGUACAGGUAGGUGUGUUUUUAACCAUAUAUGUAUGUACUUAUGAAUUUAAUUUUCUACUUUAAUUCCUUAUUGGUUUCCCAUUAAUGUGAAGCUCGUCAUACAUUAUGUGUUCUCUGGAGCUGCAUGAACUUGUGGGUUAUGCUAUCAUAGUGGCUACUGACAAAUAUCUUAAACUGUUGCAUCCUUAUGAUUUGAUAUGACAUGGCAAAGAUAGUUUGAUCAGACAUUCAUGCAGAGAAUUCUGUCACAUAAUGGGACCCUUUUUGAUACAUUUUCUCGGGAAUUGAAAAGUGUUUUGUUCUUCGAGCUGUGAUAUUUAAAGUUAUCUGAGCAUAAGGGUUACAGUUUUAAUAGUUAUGUUUUGUUCCUUGCAGGGUCCAUUAAUUAAUGAAUC
This 401-nucleotide unclassified non-coding RNA is filed under the name Hevea brasiliensis (rubber tree). Lineage: Eukaryota; Viridiplantae; Streptophyta; Magnoliopsida; Malpighiales; Euphorbiaceae. The record is from RNAcentral.